RNAcentral lists this ribosomal RNA (337 nucleotides) under uncultured bacterium. RNAcentral describes it as "partial 16S ribosomal RNA". It matches the Rfam family "Bacterial small subunit ribosomal RNA", at positions 338 to 667 of the family's 1533-position model. The record is from RNAcentral.
CCUACGGAGGGCUGCAGUGGGGAAUAUUGCGCAAUGGGCGAAAGCCUGACGCAGCGACGCCGCGUGAGGGAUGAAGGUCUUCGGAUCGUAAACCUCUGUCAGCAGGGAAGAACGGUCACUGUGCUAAUCAGCCGUGAAUUGACGGUACCUGCAAAGGCAGCACCGGCUAACCCCGUGCCAGCAGCAGCGGUAAUACGGAGGGUGCGGGCGUUAAUCGGAAGUGCUGGGCGUAAAGCGCUCGUAGGCGGUAUGUCAAGUCAAGGGUGAAAUCCCCGCGCUCAACGUGGGAACUGCAUUUGAAACUGGCAAACUGGAGUGUGUGCGAGGAUAGUGGAAU